Molecule: non-coding RNA, 29 nt
Filed under: Rattus norvegicus (Norway rat)
Lineage: Eukaryota; Metazoa; Chordata; Mammalia; Rodentia; Muridae
Source: RNAcentral
UCAAGAGCAUGGUACACAGUAGUUCCUGG